CCUACGGGAGGCAGCAGUGAGGAAUAUUGGUCAAUGGACGAGAGUCUGAACCAGCCAAGUAGCGUGAAGGAUGACUGCCCUAUGGGUUGUAAACUUCUUUUAUAUGGGAAUAAAAUGUUCCACGUGUGGGAGUUUGUAUGUACCAUAUGAAUAAGGAUCGGCUAACUCCGUGCCAGCAGCCGCGGUAAUACGGAGGAUCCGAGCGUUAUCCGGAGUUAUUGGGUGUAAAGGGAGCGUAGGUGGAUUGUUAAGUCAGUUGUGAAAGUUUGCGGCUCAACCGUAAAAUUGCAGUUGAAACUGGCAGUCUUGAGUACAGUAGAGGUGGGCGGAAGUCGUGGUGUAGCGGUGAAAUGCUUAGAUAUCACGAAGAACUCCGAUUGCGAAGGCAGCUCACUGGACUGCAACUGACACUGAGGCUCGAAAGUGUGGGUAUCAAACAGGAUUAGAUACCCUAGUAGUC
RNAcentral lists this ribosomal RNA (460 nucleotides) under uncultured bacterium. RNAcentral's name for it is "partial 16S ribosomal RNA". It matches the Rfam family "Bacterial small subunit ribosomal RNA", at positions 338 to 795 of the family's 1533-position model. The record is from RNAcentral.